CUGCAGCCCGAGUGGUUAUCGAUUUUAUUGAGCCUAAAGCGUCCGUAGCCGGACUAGUAAACCCUUUGGUUAAUUGGGCAGCUUAACUGUCCAAAUUCCGAGGGGACUGCUAGUCUUGGGACCGGGAGAGGUCAGAGGUACUCAAGGGGUAGGGGCUAAAUCCUGUAAUCCUUUGGGGACCACCAGUGGCGAAGGCGUCUGACUAGAACGGAUCCGACGGUAAGGGACGAAACCCUGGGGCGCGAACCGGAUUAGAUACCCUAGUAGUCC
This 270-nucleotide ribosomal RNA is filed under the name uncultured archaeon. RNAcentral's name for it is "partial 16S ribosomal RNA". It matches the Rfam family "Archaeal small subunit ribosomal RNA", at positions 477 to 747 of the family's 1478-position model. The record is from RNAcentral.